AUUGAACGCUGGCGGCAGGCUUAACACAUGCAAGUCGAGCGGAGAUGAGGUGCUUGCACCUUAUCUUAGCGGCGGACGGGUGAGUAAUGCUUAGGAAUCUGCCUAUUAGUGGGGGACAACAUUCCGAAAGGAAUGCUAAUACCGCAUACGUCCUACGGGAGAAAGCAGGGGAUCUUCGGACCUUGCGCUAAUAGAUGAGCCUAAGUCGGAUUAGCUAGUUGGUGGGGUAAAGGCCUACCAAGGCGACGAUCUGUAGCGGGUCUGAGAGGAUGAUCCGCCACACUGGGACGGAGAAACGGCCCAGAAUCCUACGGGAGGCAGCAGUGGGGAAUAUUGGACAAUGGGGGGAACCCUGAUCCAGCCAUGCCGCGUGUGUGAAGAAGGCCUUAUGGUUGUAAAGCACUUUAAGCGAGGAGGAGGCUACUGAGACUAAUACUCUUGGAUAGUGGACGUUACUCGCAGAAUAAGCACCGGCUAACUCUGUGCCAGCCGCCGCAGUAA
This 501-nucleotide ribosomal RNA is filed under the name uncultured bacterium. RNAcentral's name for it is "partial 16S ribosomal RNA". It matches the Rfam family "Bacterial small subunit ribosomal RNA", at positions 30 to 523 of the family's 1533-position model. The record is from RNAcentral.